GGCGGCGUAGCUCAGAGGUAGAGCAGCGCUCUCAUAAGGCGCCUGUCGGAGGUUCGAGUCCUCCCGCCGCCACCA
This 75-nucleotide transfer RNA is filed under the name Candidatus Dadabacteria bacterium. RNAcentral's name for it is "tRNA-Met". It matches the Rfam family "tRNA". Rfam says of the family: Transfer RNA (tRNA) molecules are approximately 80 nucleotides in length. Their secondary structure includes four short double-helical elements and three loops (D, anti-codon, and T loops). The record is from RNAcentral. Lineage: Bacteria; Pseudomonadati; Thermodesulfobacteriota; Candidatus Dadabacteria.